AUGUGACUUGUGGGCUUCCCUUUGUCAUCCUUUGCCUAGGGCUCUGAGUGGGGCAGGGACAGCAAAGGGGUGCUCAGUCGUCACCUCU
This 88-nucleotide microRNA precursor is filed under the name Ailuropoda melanoleuca (giant panda). Its description in RNAcentral is "mir-204 microRNA precursor family". It matches the Rfam family "mir-204 microRNA precursor family". Lineage: Eukaryota; Metazoa; Chordata; Mammalia; Carnivora; Ursidae. The record is from Rfam by way of RNAcentral. RNAcentral also lists the same sequence under 3 other names.